GGAUUAGGCAUGCAAGUCGAACGAGAAAGGUUCCUUCGGGGACCGAGUACAGUGGCGUAAGGGUGAGUAAUGCAUAGAUAACCUGCCCUCGAGAUGGGAAUAACCUCGGGAAACUGGGGCUAAUACCCAAUAAGACCACGUGUCGCAGGGCACGUAGUCAAAGAUAGCUUCGGCCUUCGCUCGAGGAGGGGUCUGUGUCCUAUUAGCUUGUUGGUGGGGUAACGGCCCACCAAGGCUUCGAUGGGUAGCCGACCUGAGAGGGUGGCCGGCCACACUGGGACUGAGACACUGCCCAGACUCCUACGGGAGGCUGCAGUCGAGAAUCUUCCGCAAUGCGCGAAAGCGUGACGGAGCGACGCCGCGUGGAGGAUGAAGGCUUUCGGGUUGUAAACUCCUGUCACCUGGGAAGAAAAGCAGGCAGUUAAUAGCUGUCCUGCUUGACGUUACCAGGAGAGGAAGCACCGGCUAAAUACGUGCCAGCAGCCGCGGUAAUACGUAUGGUGCAAACGUUGUUCGGAAUCACUGGGCUUAAAGAGCACGUAGGCGGUUGAGAAAGUCUGAUGUGAAAUACCUCAGCUCAACUGAGGAACUGCAUUAGAAACUACUCGGCUAGAGUGCAGGAGGGGGAGAGUGGAAUUCCUGGUGGAGCGGUGAAAUGCGUAGAUAUCAGGAGGAACGCCGGUGGCGAAAGCGACUCUCUGGCCUGCUACUGACGCUGAGGUGCGAAAGCUAGGGGAGCGAACGGGAUUAGAUACCCCGGUAGUCCUAGCCCUAAACGAUGGGCACUAAGUAGAGGGGUUUU
RNAcentral lists this ribosomal RNA (802 nucleotides) under uncultured Planctomycetota bacterium. RNAcentral describes it as "bacterial SSU rRNA". It matches the Rfam family "Bacterial small subunit ribosomal RNA", at positions 46 to 832 of the family's 1533-position model. Lineage: Bacteria; Pseudomonadati; Planctomycetota. The record is from RNAcentral.